This 468-nucleotide ribosomal RNA is filed under the name uncultured bacterium. RNAcentral describes it as "partial 16S ribosomal RNA". It matches the Rfam family "Bacterial small subunit ribosomal RNA", at positions 28 to 507 of the family's 1533-position model. The record is from RNAcentral.
GACGAACGCUGGCGGCGUGCUUAACACAUGCAAGUCGAACGGAAAGGCCCUGCUUUUGUGGGGUGCUCGAGUGGCGAACGGGUGAGUAACACGUGAGUAACCUGCCCUUGACUUUGGGAUAACUUCAGGAAACUGGGGCUAAUACCGGAUAGGAGCUCCUGCUGCAUGGUGGGGGUUGGAAAGUUUCGGCGGUUGGGGAUGGACUCGCGGCUUAUCAGCUUGUUGGUGGGGUAGUGGCUUACCAAGGCUUUGACGGGUAGCCGGCCUGAGAGGGUGACCGGCGACAUUGGGACUGAGAUACGGCCCAGACUCCUACGGGAGGCAGCAGUGGGGAAUAUUGCACAAUGGGCGGAAGCCUGAUGCAGCAACGCCGCGUGCGGGAUGACGGGCUUCGGGUUGUAAACCGCUUUCGCCUGUGACGAAGAGUGAGUGACGGUACUGGGUAAAGAAGCACCGGCUAACUACGUG